ACGAAGGGGGCUAGCGUUGUUCGGAAUUACUGGGCGUAAAGCGAGCGUAGGCGGAUUGUUAAGUCGGGGGUGAAAUCCCGGGGCUCAACCCCGGAACUGCCUUCGAUACUGGCAAUCUGGAGCAUGGGAGAGGUGAGCGGAAUUCCGAGUGUAGAGGUGAAAUUCGUAGAUAUUCGGAGGAACACCAGUGGCGAAGGCGGCUCACUGGACCAUUGCUGACGCUGAGGCUCGAAAGCGUGGGGAGCAAACAGG
This 252-nucleotide ribosomal RNA is filed under the name uncultured bacterium. RNAcentral describes it as "partial 16S ribosomal RNA". It matches the Rfam family "Bacterial small subunit ribosomal RNA", at positions 525 to 776 of the family's 1533-position model. The record is from RNAcentral.